AGCUCCUUCACCUGAUAUGACUUGCCUAGGGUCACAUAGCUAAUAUAUAUAUCAACCCUGCCUCUUUAGCUCAGAUCUUUUUGACUCAGAGGUUGACCUUUUGCUUUCUAUACCAGGCUUCCUGUCAACAUUUCCCUAACUAACAUAAUCAUACAAGCCAUUCUUGCAUGCAUAUUAUGUUAACUACUUUAAAACUUUAUCACUGAUUAUUAUAAAUAAUCCCUAUGUUAUAAAAAUAAUUAUGGAGUUGUCAAUGUGGAAUCUAGAAGCCUCCAAACUUGUAGCCUAGAAAGAUUUAGUGAUCCCCAGUUUACUUGGUUUGAAGGUGAAGACCCCAGGUUUGACCUUGUCACAUGAGAGUUCCUCCCUGAGGGAAAGUCCUACUUCACUGCCUCUCAGAUUAACAAUAGACCUUGAGUUAUAGCUCAGUAGGUAGCACCUCAGUCUCAUAAACCAGCUCCCCACAGGGGAAUGUGGUACAAAAUGGGAGAAGCUUCUACAGCAAAAAGAGGCAUCUGUUGGGAUUAGCUGUCCCCACACAGAAUUAACCUUAAGGUCUAUUGCUAGACUAUGAGGCAGUGAAGUAGGCCUUUCCCUCAGGAAGGAACUCUCAUGUGACAAGGUCAAACCCGGGGUCUUCACCUUCAAACCAAGUAAACUGGGGAAUCACUAAAUCUUUCUAGGCUACAAGUUUGGGGGCUUCUAGAUUCCAUGUUGACAGAGUCAUGAUGUCAUAAGGUUAGAAGGGGUUGAGAAGAAAUCAUCCUACUUGUGAUAGGAAUAACUCCUAGAAACAUUUGGAGUAGGGGUCCAUGAACUCCUUUGUUUAUUUUAAUUUGUAUCGUUUUCAAUAAAAGUGGUUUCCUUUAUCAACAUGUUUUAUUGUGUGUAUUUAACAUCAUUCCUUUAGGUGUGGUACUUGCCUGUUUUCCUGUUGUUGGAGAAGUUGAUCCUGGCAGACUUCUUGAGCUUAGAAUUCUGAACUGAAAUUGAUAGAAUAUUGGCACCACGGCAGCAACCCUUUGUUGAGAUCCCAGGAGAGGGGUUAUCUUGCCACCUGAAGAAGAGAAAAAUAAUAUUUGUAGAAAAACAGUUUGGGUAAAAAGUACCUGUCAUGUGGAGCUAUUUUUCCCAAUAACUAUUUUAAUACAGUUUCCUUUGUAAACUAUGUAAAGUUGAUGUUAACAUGAAGUCCAAUACCAAAAUGGCAAACCCUUAGGGCUACCAGGCUGUAUACAGAAGGGAGAUCUGAAAAGCAGAGCAGAUUCCUUACAGCUCCCAUGUCAAUCAGUAUUAUAAUCAAUCUGUGAGUGACUGCUUCACCUCCAGCCUAGGUGAGAGAGGGAAACCUAGUCUCAAAACAAAACAGAAUAAAAAAACCCCACAUUGCUUUGAGAAGGGGUCCAUAGGCUUCAUUAGAUUGUCAACAGAUGUCUAUGACAAACACAGUAUUAAGAACCUCUAAUCCAAAUCAAGCCAUUCAUAACUUUUUGAUAACCCAUUCCAGUAGGAAGUAGCUCUUAAUAUCAGUAAAUUCUUUCUUUAAUCCAGCUCAAAAAUCUCUUUAAAUCCAUUUUCUCUCUAGUUACUAGUGAAGAAAUAAAACAUAUGCUCAUCAUUCUUCAUAUGACAGUUUUUCAUUUGCUUACAGAUCUUUACAAAUCUUUCCUUUUUUGAUUUAUAUAAAUUUUUUUCACUUUAACUUGCCCUCAUAGAUCUGACUUUCCCACUCUCAGUUACUUUCUUGUUUUUUUCCUAACCCAAGAACCUCUUUAGCUAUGGACUCCAGAACUGGAACUAUAAAUUAUAGAGAGGUUGCCAACCUGCAUUACUACUGUUGUGCUCCGAUACCAUUUCUAUUGAGGCAGUGUGUCCCCAGAAUGUUGGAUCUGGAGUCUAGAAGACCCCUGCUGCUGCACAGGUUCAAAUCCCCCUGCUCUGUGACCAUGAGAAAAUUACUUCAACUCUGCCUCAAACUUAGUUUCCCCAUCUUUAAAAUGAAGACAAUGUUUAUAGUCUCCAUCUUACAGGGUUAUUUUGUAAAGUUCAAGAGAGAUACUAUAUCAGGUACUUGAAUACUUUAAAGUAUUUAUAUCAGAUACUUAUUAUUAGUUGUAAAGUUUUGAGUAGUGCUCAGUUUAAGGGGAGCAUUCAAUAGUAUUGAGAUAUUGGUCUACUCAAAUGUGGCUUUUGGGGGAUAAAGACUGAUUUUAUUACUUUAAGGGAGCCAAUAAUUUCACAUAUAUGCCAUUUUUAUUUUUUACUUUGUCAACCUUGAAAAACACAGAACCACCCAAAAUAGUUAGAACAAGUGUUUGAUUAGGACAAGGAAAACAGGGCUCUAAUUGGCCUUAAGUAGAGUCAUGUGCAAGAUAGCACACAGAGACAAGUGCUGGGACUCUGGGAAGUCUCUGAGGAUGCAUCUUAAAAAGGAGAUUUUCCAAAGAACUGAAGAAUUAGGGAUUUCAUAUGCCCUUUGGGGAAUAAAAGAAAGGAAGGACAAUUGAAGUGUUUACAUGGAGAAUUCCAGCCAGAGGAAAGACUACCUGGAAGAAGCCUAGAUACAAUGGGAGAAACUUCUAAGACAGAAGGAUACCUAAAGAUUUGAUUAUAUCUACUCAUUCAUCUAGGCUGAGAUCACUGGGUACUUCAAGGUUUUUCUUUAGUCUAAGACUAAGGUCAGCCUGGGAGUUCUCUAAAGGCAUAAUCCAAGGGACAAAGGUAAAUUUGGGGGUUCCAUAAAACAAGGUCAUCAGCUUAUAUAAACAUUUGGAUAUAUUCAUUGUAUUUAUAUAUGUAAAUGUACAUUAUGUGUUGACUUGGAAAAAACACAAAACUAUUAAAUAGUCAGAAAAAUCACUCUUUAAUCAAGGAAGAGGGGUUCAGUGUGAUAGUCGCCUCUACACAGAGCUGCACACUAACAACUACACAGAGUCCCAGGUUGAACUCUGGAUGCUCUGGACACUGACCCUCAGCCAGGGGCUGGGCCACCUGGAUUAAGGAUUUUGGCCUAAAGGGAGAAACCAUUGGGACAAAAGAGAUACUGAACUUCUGAUGGAAUUAGCUAUUCCCACCUAAACUACCUUAAAGUUUAUUGUUUAUAGUGUUUAAAGUUUAUAGUGUUUAAAGUUUAUAGUGAAGUAGGACUUUCCCUCAGGAAGGAACUCUCAAGUGUCAAGGUCAACCUGGGGCUUUUCACCUUGUCAUUAAAUCUUUCUAGGCUACAAGUUUGGGGGCUUCUAGAUUCCACAUUGACACAUGUAAUAAAAAAAAAAAAAACAUCUUUCCCAAUAUGAAUUGCCAUAUUUCUGCAGUUUAAAGUCUUCCUGAAUCCAAGGUGAGCCUACUAUCCAUUCCAGCAGGCUACCUCUUGAGUGGCUUUUUGCCCUUUAGGAACAACUAAUCUUCAUUACUCAUGCUUGUCAGUAGUUAUUCAUUCUGCAUCUUCUAUUUGAGCAUCCUUUUUGUAUGUUACAUUGUUCUACAAAUUUGGGACCCUUUUCCUUAUUUUCUAAAAUAGUUUUAAAUGUGGGUCCUGACUUUCAAGACUUUUCUUUCUUUUGAUAUCAACUGCAAACUCAAUGACUAUUUUUUUACUCUUUUUAAAAAGAAAAACAGUUCUUUGACUCCUUACCUUUAUAAUUUACAAAGCAUUUUCAGAUUUAUUAUCUCAUUUGAGCCUCCAAGCCACUUUCUGAGAGAGGCAGGGGAGGUAUUAUCAUCACCCAUUUAUAGAUAAGGAAGCAGAAAAUCAGCAGAAGAUAAGUCAGUGAUUUUCCCUGGAGUCAAGUCAUCUGACUUUCUAAUCCAAUGCGCCAUAAUGCCUCUGAUCAUCUGAGUUGAAAAAUGUAAAUGUCACUGGACCAAAAUUGACCAAGCUGUGUAGGACACAGAGUUCUAAUUAGUAAGGGGAUAAAUAGGUCUUUGCUCCAGGAUGCCAGCAUCUUGGAAGGGGUGGACAGGCUACCUCCCUCUAGUAAUCAUGGUGCGCAUACUUCACCUCACUGUUAUCUACUGGAUUGCCCACCAUAUUGUAGGCUGCCCACUAUGAAGCAUGGCUGCUCCUAGCCUGUUCCUUUUUCUGGGAUCAUCAUGGUACCCCAAGACUCAGAGACAGGUGACUUUUCUGGCAGGGCUACACAUUUGGUCAGAUGCUUAGACCUCUCCCUACCCUACCCCACAGAUGAAAGUCAUAUCUCUGCUUUGGUUCCAUGUAAAGAAUUCCUAGUUAAACUUUCUGAUGGAAUCAUAUUUACUAUGCCUUUCGAAGCUCAUAGUUUGGAUGCACUCACUUGUGAAUGACCAAAUUAUACAACCCUCCAGAUGAUUUAGCCUUUGAAGUAGAAAUCAGUUUUGCAUUUAAAGACCUUCACAACCUGCCCCACCCCCCAAUCCUAUUAUACAUUUCUCCCCUUAUGUAGUAAAAAAAGAUAAAAGGAGGGAAGUUUUGUGCCCCAGGGGGAGCUUGGACUUUCAGGAUGGAGAAGGGGAAAGAGAAGAGAUCCCCCUUCUCAAAGUGGGGCUAAGGGGAGGCAGCAGAUAUAACGGGUUGGCUCAGAGAGAGGAGAGGGGGUUUGAAGAUUUUCCACCUUCUGCCUUGCCUCUUUAGCUAAAGCUGCUUUCCCCAAUUUGCUCUUAUCCCUCUUGUCCCUCUUGACCCUCCACUACUGGAGACCAAAAGGUCUCCCCUUGAUCCGUUCACUCACACUCAGCUUGGGGAACAGAUAACUUUAAUGUUAACUAAGAUAAUACAAAAGAAAUAAAGGGCAGGGAAGAAUGGGAAAAGGAAAGUGGGAAAAGGGGGUCCCUGUCUCUAUCUAAUCCCUUUCCCCUCCCUCCUUAAGUUUGGGGGGGAACUCAGGCCUUGGCAGCCUGAGCCCCCUGAGAGAAAGUCAGGUUGACUCACCCCUGGGCAACAGGAGCUGAGGUAAAUUCUGUUCAGGUUUCUCUUCAGAAGGUCCCUUCAGUUGGGAAGUGUUGGGGGGAAGGAUUUCCAGUCACCAGUGGGAAAAGUGGGUAACCCUCAGGAGAAAGCCUUUAUCAACCUUCUCUCUUCAAUGUCUCAAGACAGAGAGACCCUCCCUGCUCUCCCAGCCAGAGUCUUCUCUUCUCAGGAUUCCACUCCAGACCUCCCACCCCCCACCCCUUCCCAUCGAGGUGGUCAAUUUCACAUACUCUUUAAUCUGGCACUUUUUCUUUAGUGCCAGCCUCUGUCACACUUAAGAGAUGAUCUGGCUCACUAGAGCCAAUUAUUAAAUUUCCAGUGUGAACCUGUAUAUCUCAGAAGUUAGCAAAUGCUACAAAUCAGAGCUUGAUUUAUGGUAUUAUCAAUUAUCUGGCAAUGGAGAAAUAUUAAAAACAAAGUGAUAGAGAAAAUGUUAAUAAUGCAGAUUAAACUUAGCAUACUUUUGAGGGGGGGAGUAUUUCGUUAAGCAAUAUACCACUGUCUGUAUAACCCAGUUAAACUGAAUUAAAAAAAAUAUUCCUUAUACAUGGGGCUUUGUUUCCAGACUUUGUUUUUGCCCUGCCUACCCCUCAAGCAUGAGAUAUUCUUCUUUCUCUCUACUUUUGAGAAUCCCUAGUCUCAAAAUUUAAAAUUUUAAAAAAAUCUUCAAAAUUUAUUCCAAGUUGGGGCAGCUAGGUGGCUAAGUGGAUAGAGUCAUGUCUAGAGACUUGAGGUCUUGGUUUCAAAUUUGACCACAGAUACUUCCUAGCUGGAUACCCCUAGAAAAGUCACUUAACCCCAGUUCCUUCACCUUUACCACUCUUCCAUCUUAGAACCAGUGCUAAGUAUUGAUUCUAAGACAGAAGGUAAGGGUUUAAAAAAUAUUUAGCCCAAGAGCCACAUUUUCCAUAAAUCCUUGCCUGUUCUUCAUAGCUGCCCGGUAUUCUCCCCACUUUCCCAAACCCCCUUAUGUCUACUCUAUUUUGUAUCCAGCCAAGACUGAUUACUAUGAACAGUGAAUUCUGUGUAGUGGAAUUCUUUAAAUCUAUAUUAAUUGAAGUUAUAAUUAUAUGUAAAUUAUGGCAGUUGGUCCUAACCCAACAGAAAUCUGCAUUGACAAUUCAAGUAAUGUGACCCCUUCACAGGAUUCAUUAUUUACACUCAUGGAGACCUGUUAUAUAUAUAUAUAUAUAUAUACACACACACAUACCUGUCUUCUCCCUGAUGGAAUGUCAGCUGCUGCUUGAGGGUGGGAGUUUGCUUUGUAUUUCUCAUGCCUAGAUGCCUAGCAAACAAUGUCUGGUACAUAAUUAGCGCCCAAAUCAGUAUUUGUUGAUUGACUCUGAUGACAGGGUAUCAAGAGGCUCCAUUGUGACCAUGGUGGACCACAUUUCCAUUGUGUGAUUUCCAUCAUUCCCAGACUUUUCUCUAAUCUCAUGCUAUGGAUUAAGAGCACACAAAAAUGAAAAAUAAUAGUUUUAUUUGAAGCAUCAUUGAUUAAUGCUAUUCAUGCAUUAUGCCAAGCAGAUGUGUCAUUAAAAAAAAAUUCAAGAUGGUUAAAGCUUGACACUCUAUGUGAGAUGCCCAACCAGUGGUCUAACAGAAGAUUAUUCUAAUCAGAUACCUUUUUAUUUUUUUACUUUUUGCUGUCUAAGUUGCUCAUCCUCCCAGGUCUUGUAUUUUGUACCACUUUCCAGGUGACUGGAGGCAAAGAUAAGAACAUUUGCCCUCCUGCUAUGAAAAUUCAGGGGAAAUGGAAUGAUUUCAAGAGCAAGCUGCAGGCAGAUGUAAAUAUCCAAAAUGCUUAAUACUGGAGGGGAAAACCACACUGUCUUUAUUCUGUGAAGACAGAACUGUGACAAAACCAUCAGGAAGCAUUUUAGAAAAGAAUAAAUUGUCAUGGAUGGGAAUAAGUUGUGAGUAUAACCAUAAUGUUCCAUCCAGUUAAUCAGUGAAUUGACAAGCAUGUAUUAAGGACCUUUUGUCUCCAAUGCACUCUGGGCAUUCAAAAACAAAAGAAAAAUAAUUCCUGCCCUCAAGGAGCUUACAUUCUAAGAAAAGAGAUUACAUAUACAUACAUUGGUAUGUUAAAAACACAUCUAAGGUAGAUGCUGUACAAGGCACCUUCAAAGGGGACUAGAAAGGGCCUUACUCAAAAGCUGACACUUGAACUGAGUCCUGAAAGAAACUAGAGGGUCCAAGGGACAGAGGUGAGAAAGGAGUUCAUUUCAGGCAUGUCCAACUAAUACAAAGACUCAGAGAUGGAAAAUCAAGCAAAGAACAUCAAGAAAGCUACUUUGACAAGAUUGUAGUGUUCAGAGAAGUAUAUCAUUAGGCUUUAAUUAAUAAUGAAUAAAUUUAAUAAAUAAUAAUAAAUGAUAUAUAUUAUUAUAUAUAAAUAAUUAUAUCAUUAGGCUGGAAUGGUGGGAUGGGACCGCUCUAUAAAGAAUUUUAAAUGCCAAACAGAGGAAAUGCUGUUAGAUCCUAUAGGCUAUAAGGAGCCACUGGAGAUUCUUGACUAGGAAAUCCCCAUCCCUGUAGAUUCUUGACUUGGACUGAAAAAUAUGGAGGAAUGAAUGCCAUUCACAACUAAAAACACACCAGCUUUCUAGGCCUGUCCCACCCUUCUCCACAAUGUCUUUCUCUGAUGCCUUUUCAUUGUGUUAUGGAUAGAAUCCUGGGUUUUCAAUGGCUUCAGAGUGACAGUCUUGUCAGGUCCCACUGAGUCAGAAAGGCUUUGAGAAUAACAUCUGUGUCCCAUUGGAGAACCAGCCCAUUUCUCUUUUAAGAGAUCAGUUGUCAGGUGAGUCAGAGGGUGAUUAAUGGUUCUUCUACUCCAACUUUCAGAUACUAUCUCCUGAGAUAGAGUUGUACCUGUACUGCUACAGAAAACCAUCUAAUUGACAAAAUUAGAAAGUAUUGCUGAGCUUAAGAUUCACAGUGGUCUUUGGUCAUCAGAUCCUGUUAGCUUUCUCUAAUUAACAUUUUGGGUUACUGAGCUAUUCAAGAUGUAGUACCAUGCCAUAAGGAAUAGACAAAUGCCCUAGGAAUCAGGAAGAUUUGCAUUUUGGUUUGGCUCUAUGACUCUGGGAACUCUCUAAGACUCUAAGUUUGGGAAAGGGAUUGACCUGCAUUGGUAGGAGAGUUUUCUUUUACCCAUAAAAUCACAAGUUCAGUUCCUUUCCCUCUUCCUAUCUUACAUUAUCUUCAAGUAAGCAUGUAAGAGGGGGUAGAGUAGAAGGAGUCAGGGGAACUGGGUUUGAAAUGGUCUUUAACACAGAAAGUCUAGAGAAUUUGAGGUAAGCCAUUUUAUUCCAUCUGAGACUAGUUUCCUCUUUGCAAAACAAGGAAUCAAGAUUCAAGAAACAAUCUUAGUAGACUGAAAUGAUGGACUAAACUACAGAAAUCAGUUUAAUAAGAAUAAAGGUAAAUUUGUACACUUAGGCCAAAAAAAAAGAUCAAUUACAGAAGCCCUGGCUUAGCUCAUGUGAAAAAGAACUAGGGAUUUUAUUACCUCAAGUGUAAUGUAAACCAAAAGUGUGAUGUGACUGCCAAAAAAACCUCAUACAAGAAUCUUUGUUGUUAUUGUUGAGUCAUUUAAGUCAUGUUUGAUUCUUGGUGACUCCAUUAGGGGUUUUCUUGGCACAGAUACAGGAGUAGUGUGCCAUUUCCUUCUCGGGUUCAUUUUAUAGAUGAGGAACUGGGGCAAAUAGGAUUAAAGUCACCUGCCCUAGUUCUGAGGCUAUAUUUGAACUUAUCAAGAUGAAUCUUCCUGACUCCAAGCCCUGCACUUGGUGCACUAUGGGACCACCUAGCUGCCUCAGUACAAUCUUAGGCUACAUUAAUAGAGAAGCAUACUAUCUAGAGGAGGCUUAUCACUGUCCCAUUCUACUGUCCACUAUUUAGACUCCAUCUAAUAGAGAAUUCAUAGAAGAAAAUGCCCAUUUGAAGUGUGUCCAGAGGAAGGCUACCUAGGAAGGUAAAGAGUACCUAAAUCUUCAUGGAAUCCUUGAACCAGAGAUUUGAACUGGAAGGGAGCUUAGGGAAAGGAGACCUUUGUGCCAAUAUGAUGAAUACUUGGAGAAAUUUAACAUGCUUAACAUUUGAAAUGACUUGAAAAAUUAGUGUCCCCAAACCUAGGAGAGUGCCUGGUGCAUAAUGGGAGCUUAAAUGUUUAUUGACUGAUCAAUUGAUUGAAAAAGAAAGUUUGAUAAAGGCAAAGACAGAAGGGAGAUGGUCUUACUUUCUUCCAUUAUUUUCAGAGCUAUCACAUGGAAGACUUCAGUACAGCACCAGAGGGAAGACCUAGGGCUAGUGUCUAGAAGUUACAGAGAAGCAGAUUUCCAGUAUGCCAAAAAGAAAAUGAUCGUUUGCCUUGUGACGAAUUUGGACAACGGUGUCCCCCGAUUUUCUGGUCUAAGAGGAAGCUUAAUCCAAUUUCUUCUUGCAGAUGAGAAAAUGAAGACACUGGGGGAUUGACAGGGUCUUUGAGCUACUCCACUAAGUGACAGAACUGAAAUUUGAACUCUGCCCUCCAGAUCAUCCCUGAGUGCAGCAAGUGCCCCUAGGAGGUCAAGCUCACCUGGUGGGGCCAUAGUGGUACUGUGCUUGCUCCGCAUUGAGGAUAAAAAGAAAUGCAAACUUAGUCUUUAAUCUCCAGGAUUCGCCAUUCUCAUGGGAGAAAGAGACGACAUGUACAACCAGUUAUCUGUUCCCGGUCAAGAAUGCCACGUGAUGAAAUUCACCAGAGAUGUUUGCCAGCAAAUAUAUUGACCCAAUUACAGAGCAUCCAAUGGGAUCCUUCCUCAUUGUCAUGGCACACAGAGAGAGCCCCAGUAUCACUGCGUAACAGAGUGUCCCCAGGAUGUCUUUGUGACCCGAUUAAUUCUUGGCAUGCUGGCCCAGCCAUCUCAGAAAAGAGCAGUGACAAUACUCUCUUUAGCUUGAGGAAAAAAACAUGGCAGCAGAUGGUACCUUUAACAGAUGACAGCAGCAACUUGGUGAAGAAGCAAUAGAUGAUUGCUUCAAGACACCGGGAAGCAACUGCUGAUAUGAAAUAGAUAGCCUGUGGAAGUAAGAUGGAACAACAGCAGCAAAGGUCCCCACCAAAGCCCCUAGGAGAGAGGACUUGGAUAAACACCAGGUUGCCAGGAGACAGAGCUGCCAAAGGCAAUGAUGCAGUCAUGAUGCAGCCCUUCCUCACCUCAGAACAAGAGUUGCUCUGCUUUCCCUGAAAUUGGAAUGAGAUUGAAACUUUUUCACUCUAGAAGACUAAGAAUAUAUCUGCUUCUUGGUAUUCUCCAUUAUUUACUCUGCUACUCUGUCCCAAUUAAAUGCUUUAUGGUUUGGUUUAUGGUUCCUGCCUGCUCUUUUGAAGGAAUAUGUAUUGAAUGAGAGCUUAAAUCCUAUUUGUUUAAUUAUGAUUACCAAAAGGUCCCACAAUGAAUUUGGGGAGCUGUCAGAGAUGCCGUAUUCAUGUGGGACCUAUGCUACAUUUAUCUGGAAAAAUAUAAAAAUGCUGAUGAUUUCUUUGUGGGAAGUGUAUCUGCACUGUUUGUAAUUAAAAGUCUAGAGAACUAAUGCAUUUCCAGUUGACUCAAGGAAGAAAACAUCUGUCUUUUUUUUUUUUUUGGCUCUGCUAGCCAUUACACAUGAAGAAUGGAGUUAUAAUGGGGGUUAUCCCAAUCAAUACAGCUCUCUCAGGGUAGUACCAUAUGCUGAAAAUCCUACUAUUUCUGUUUUUAGUCUGAUAAACCACCCAAGAUCAAAAUGGAGACUAAAAGCUUCUAUAAAUCCCACGUCUACUCUAAGUUGACAUGUUGAAAGAUUAUACUAGAACUAGAAAGUCAGGAAUCAAAGCACUUGACUUUGGCUCUGUAAUUAGCUUUCUUUUUUCUCAUUUUGGAUAUGGUGGAGAUAAUUGGGAUUGCUACCAGGUAUCUAAGACAUUAGUUGAUGUCCUGAUUACAGAUAAUCUGGCUGAUUGGGUAGAGCCAGUGUGUAAAAUGGUAGCCUGGAUCAAUCCUUUACCUUGACAAAUCAUUCCUUUUUUCAAAAUGGAUAAAAAUAUCCAACUACAUUUGGGGUACUAACCAUAUUUAUUUAUAGGCAACUGUGUCUUGUACUUCAGAAAAAUUUACAAAAGGAAGCAGCAGCAUGCUGUAGUAGGAAGAUGGCAGUAUUUCCUAUCUCGACCAGGAUUCAAAUCCCAGCCUUACUACUUACCAGCUCUGUGCCUUUGUAUUCUCAUGUAUUCUCUUGCCUCAUAUUCCUCAUUUAUAAACACAGACUUGCACUAGAUUGUCUCUGAGUUCUCUUCUACUUAUAAAUCUAUGAUCCUAGGAUUUAAUAAAGACAGAGAAAUAAUCAUCUUUCAUUAUUUCUAAUAAAAAUUAUAGCAUGGCAUUAUCCUGAAAAAGAAAAUUGGGGGUGAAGGGAGAGAAAAGAUAGCCAAAAGGACAAAAAAGCACAGAACAGUGGUAUUUUAGAAUAAGGGAAGAUCACAUUUAGGUGGAUUAAAAAUAAACCCAUUUAACUGAGCCACUCUUCAACUCAAUGUAUUGCUAUUCUUAAUUGGCUGGUAAAUAAAUGACAACACAUUUAAGCAAUUUAGGAAUUACAGUCAAGAUUGUUGUGCUGUUUUCAAAACAGUUAGCUUAGACUGAUACAAUUACAAUAAUAAUGGUUCCUGGCAGGAGAAAGCACUUUUUCCCAUUGCCAGUGGAAAAGAAAAUGAAAGCAUCAUGGGAAUUUCAAUAUCAAGCCUAAUAUUUUCCUUUUCUUUCAGCUCUUCACCUUACAGAAACCCCCAGUUAACCAGAAUUCAGUUGAUUGAAAUCUUCAAUGAACAGAUUUUUUUUUCUUUUAUAAUCCUUUUAAAAAGAAAGCAAAAAAGCAAAUAAUAAGUGGAUGGUGGCAUGACCCACUCUGACUCAUUCUUUCAUGGGCUGUAUUUUCCCUCAUGAUUCCAGGGUAUCCUACAGGGCUUUGGAUAACUUUACUUGUACAUAAUUAGCUUGAGUCUCCACUGAGUUUCCUCCAAUUUGUUAUGGGGUCCAUAACUAGCAUAACAAUUCCACUUAACCAUUGAACACAAGGUAGUUUUUUGUUUUUUAAUAAAAAAGGAAUGUGUAUAAUUGAAAAUCUGUUACCCUAAAAAAAGAACUGCAUUUCCCAGGAGCCCACUGAUUUCCAGGCAUUCCAUACUUCCUGUAGACAGGGGAUAUUAGGCAAGGACGUGAAGGGUCUCAGCUUUUUGUUUCCUGUCCUGAGUUUGAUGGUGGGGAGGAGGGUGUUUGAACUGGCUGAUCAGCCAUGGGCAUGUGGUCUUUAUUUUGUAUCUUUUUUAUUCCUUGGUUUCCAAUGAUCAUUAAUAAAUCUCUUAAAAUAUAAUAUUUUUUUAUUAUUGAGAUUUAAUUUUAACUUUUACAGAUGUUUAUUUCAUAGAUAAAGGAAGAGCAACCCUACAAAUAUUUUUCUUAAUUUUCCACCUCACUUUAGUCUCUUGGGCGAGGAGAGACUUGUGUAAUGAAAUCAUAUUCAGUGAAUGAUUUUACCCUCUUGUCUUAACCAUAGAGAUAAUGACUCAAGACAGCAAAUAAUGAGUCUCAACUAGGGAAAGGUAGAAGUCUUGGCUUGUGGCUUUCUCAAGGCAUCUCCUGUGAGGUUGUAUAUUAUAACUAUUAUCACUUUACAAAUUAGGAAACUGCUAGACAAAAGUCUAAAGUGAUUUGCUCUGCCAGACAGAAGAAGAAAAAAAAAGAAAUAGAACUCAAAUCUAGAUGAUAUAAAUCUCCCCAUCUCUACUUUUUCUUUCUUGAGCCAGCAUCUUUCAUAAAGGUCUAAUCAGAUUAUCUAUCUGCUCAAAUUUCACUUAACCAUUCUCUCUUUUUUCCUAAAUAUAAUUCACAAACUUUGCAGGUAGUUUAAGAUCUUCCAUAACCUGGUGUUAAUCUGUCUUUAGCCAUAGCUCAUGUACACUUGGUACUCUCAUACCUUCGUCGGAUGUUCUGUAUUGCCUGGAAUGAUCUUUCCACCCCUCCUUUCACCUAUUAAACUCAUAUCCAUCUUUAAAA
Non-coding RNA from Monodelphis domestica (gray short-tailed opossum), 13020 nucleotides. The record is from RefSeq and is a predicted model, not a curated record. NCBI's taxonomy places the organism in Eukaryota, Metazoa, Chordata, Mammalia, Didelphimorphia, Didelphidae.